GGAAGGAUCAUUACUAAAUGUUUUCCAACCUCCACGUUUUGUGAACUGUUAUCAAUGUCAUGGCGAGAUGCGCCUAGGCCUGUCCCUCGGGGCUUCCUGGACGCGCUCGCCGUGUUUUGUCUACGUAUAUCUAUUUUAAGCUCUGAGACUUUAAUUUUAAAAUUAAAGACAACUUUUAGCAACGGAUCUCUUGGCUCUCGCAACGAUGAAGAACGCAGCGAAUUGCGAUAAGUAAUGUGAAUUGCAGAAUACCGUGAAUCAUCAAAUCUUUGAACGCACAUUGCACUGUCUGGAAUUCCGGCAGUAUGCCUGUUUGAGUAUCAGUUCCCUCUCACUCACACCUUUUCGGAGGUGCGUGCUGGACUUGAGCCUUGAUGUCCGCAAGGGCAUCUGGCUUGGAAUUGAGUAGGUACCGCGUCAAGUGUACUGACAGAGCUAGUCUCUAGUUUUCUAGAGUUUUCUGUCUGGUCUCUUGGUGUCGGCCUAACAAAACACUAACUUGUUGGCGCGUAAGCGUCUCCAGAUUAUUGAUCUCAAAUCAGGCAAGAUUACCCGCUGAACUUAAGCAUAUUAAUAAGCGGAGGAAAAGAAACUAACAAGGAUUCCCCCAGUAACGGCGAGUGAAGCGGGACCAGCUCAAAUUUAAAAUCUCCUCGGAGAAUUGUAGUUUAAAGAAGUGUUUUCGAUGGCAGCCCAGGUAAAAGUCCCUUGGAACAGGGCGUCAUAGAGGGUGAGAAUCCCGUACAUGAUCUGGGUCCUGUCACGCUGUGAUACACUUUCAAAGAGUCGGGUUGUUUGGGAAUGCAGCCCAAAGCGGGUGGUAUAUUCCAUCUAAGGCUAAAUAUUGGCGAGAGACCGAUAGCGAACAAGUACCGUGAGGGAAAGAUGAAAAGAACUUUGAAAAGAGAGUUAAAUAGUACAGUGAAAUUGCUAAAAGGGAAACGAUUGAAAUCAGUGUUACGGCUGGGAAAUCAGUCGCCAGAAUCUGGCGGUGCACUUUCCUAGUCGUAGGUCAACAUCAGUUUGGAGACCUGGAAAAAUUCUCGGGAAGGUAGCUGGCUUGCCAGUGUUAUAGCCCGAGAGCAUACAGGGAUCUGGACUGAGGAUCGCCAGCGCUUCUUUGGGGCUUCUAGUAUUCUGUGGUUUUGAAUGCUUGGACUGCUUGCAGACCAGGUGUUCACGGCUGCUCUAUGCGGGUGUGUUCACACCAGCGCUUAGGAUGUUGACGAAAUGGUUUUAAACGACCCGUCUUGAAACACGGACCAAGGAGUCUAACAUAUAUGCGAGUGUUUGGGUGUUAAACUCAUACGCGUAAUGAAAGUGAAUGUAGGUGGGAUCCGCAAGGUGCACCAUCGACCGAUCUGGAUUUUUUGAUAGAUUUGAGUAUGAGCAUAUCUGUUGGGACCCGAAAGAUGGUGAACUAUGCCUGAAUAGGGUGAAGCCAGAGGAAACUCUGGUGGAGGCUCGUAGCGAUUCUGACGUGCAAAUCGAUCGUCAAAUUUGGGUAUAGGGGCGAAAGACUAAUCGAACCAUCUAGUAGCUGGUUCCCUC
This 1551-nucleotide unclassified non-coding RNA is filed under the name uncultured fungus. RNAcentral describes it as "sequence contains 18S rRNA gene, ITS1, 5.8S rRNA gene, ITS2, 28S rRNA gene". The stretch from base 529 to 1551 matches the Rfam family "Eukaryotic large subunit ribosomal RNA", at positions 1 to 961 of the family's 3401-position model. The record is from RNAcentral. Lineage: Eukaryota; Fungi.